CUUCUGGAUUUCUGUCCAUUUAUUUGAUAAGGGAUCAUAGAUUUCUCCAGAAUCCAGAGGCUCAUCCCAAGAUCCGAGACCUCCAAUAGCAAUCAAUACAAAACUUUUACAACCCUUAGCAUUUCGCUGAUCAUUUUUUUGUCUAAUGAACUUGUGUGACUUUCUGCUAUGUAACAAUGAUGUUUCAUCUUCAUCAAAAGCAUUUCUGUACUGACGUC
Molecule: unclassified non-coding RNA, 218 nt
Filed under: Hevea brasiliensis (rubber tree)
Lineage: Eukaryota; Viridiplantae; Streptophyta; Magnoliopsida; Malpighiales; Euphorbiaceae
Source: RNAcentral